This 252-nucleotide ribosomal RNA is filed under the name uncultured bacterium. Its description in RNAcentral is "partial 16S ribosomal RNA". It matches the Rfam family "Bacterial small subunit ribosomal RNA", at positions 524 to 776 of the family's 1533-position model. The record is from RNAcentral.
UACGUAGGGGGCAAGCGUUAUCCGGAAUUAUUGGGCGUAAAGAGUACGUAGGUGGCGACCUAAGCGCAGGGUUUAAGGCAAUGGCUCAACCAUUGUUCGCCCUGCGAACUGGGAUGCUUGAGUGCAGGAGAGGAAAGCGGAAUUCCUAGUGUAGCGGUGAAAUGCGUAGAUAUUAGGAGGAACACCAGUGGCGAAGGCGGCUUUCUGGACUGUAACUGACACUGAGGUACGAAAGCGUGGGGAGCAAACAGG